This is a long non-coding RNA of Poeciliopsis prolifica (blackstripe livebearer), 584 nucleotides long. RefSeq lists it as uncharacterized. The transcript is spliced from 4 exons. NCBI's taxonomy places the organism in Eukaryota, Metazoa, Chordata, Actinopteri, Cyprinodontiformes, Poeciliidae. The record is from RefSeq and is a predicted model, not a curated record.
AAGAGGUUGACUCAGCUGAGAGGGACGCUGAAACUUCAUCUUCCAGAUCACCAGGUGGGGAUGGCAACAAAGAAGAAGAAAUUGGUCAAUUUGGGGUGACCAGGAGAUGCACCACUGAAAGCAGUGAUCUGCCCUCAGCAAUAGAGAGGUCAGAUGGCGAGGAUCCGGCAGACAUGGAAGUCUCUGGCAUCUCUAACACACCUAAAGGCCCACCACAAAAGAAGAGAGUCAAGUGGAACAAAGAAGAAGUCCAGGCAGUGGAGAAAACGCUGAUGGACUGGAUUGACUCUGGAAAGGUUCCUGGGAAAGCUCAGUGUAUGAAAUGCAUUGAAACAUCAUGUCCUGUCCUCAACAACAGGACCUGGCAAGGUGUGAAAUUCUAUGUAAAAAAUCGCAUAGACGCAUUAAAAAGAGAGACUUUCAAAAGAAGGUAAGACUUAAGAUUUACCUUUUUGUUACCAUCAAAGAAAAUGGUUGAUCAGUUACUGCCAUUGUUAGCGCCAUAACGCCGAUUCUAUUGAGUUUCUGCCAGGUUUCAGACAGCUGCAGGAGUCAACCUUUGUUAUGCAAGUAUUUAUGCAUAC